CGAGUGUGUUGAACAGCUGCGAGCAGCUGCCGAAAGGUACUGUGCGAGGAAAGUCCGGGCUUCACAGAGCAAUAAUAACGGCUAACGGCCGCCGGAGGCGACUCCAGGGAUAGUGCAACAGAAAAUUACCGCCAUUAUUAUGGUAAGGAUGGAAAGGUGAGGUAAGAGCUCACCGGAGGGCAGGAGACUGCUCUGCCGUGUAAACCCUAUUUGAAGCAACACCGUGGUAGGACAUUAUACGCUUGCUCGGCGUGUCCUUAGGAGGUGGCAUCGAGCAGAUUCGGUAACGGUCUGCCAAGAUAGAUGGCUGUUCACGACAAAACCCGGCUUACAGACACAGUCGCAUA
RNAcentral lists this RNase P RNA (347 nucleotides) under Ruminococcus bromii. RNAcentral's name for it is "RNase P RNA component class A". It matches the Rfam family "Bacterial RNase P class A". Rfam says of the family: Ribonuclease P (RNase P) is a ubiquitous endoribonuclease, found in archaea, bacteria and eukarya as well as chloroplasts and mitochondria. Its best characterised activity is the generation of mature 5'-ends of tRNAs by cleaving the 5'-leader elements of precursor-tRNAs. Cellular RNase Ps are ribonucleoproteins. Lineage: Bacteria; Bacillati; Bacillota; Clostridia; Eubacteriales; Oscillospiraceae. The record is from RNAcentral. RNAcentral also lists the same sequence under 4 other names.